UACGGAGGGUGCAAGCGCUAUCCGGAUUCACUGGGUUUAAAGGGUGUGUAGGCGGGCAUUUAAGUCAGUGGUGAAAUCUCCAGGCUCAACCUGGAAACUGCCAUUGAUACUAUUUGUCUUGAAUCCUGUUGAGGUGGGCGGAAUAUAUCAUGUAGCGGUGAAAUGCUUAGAUAUGAUAUAGAACACCGAUUGCGAAGGCAGCUCACUAAGCAGGUAUUGACGCUGAGGCACGAAAGCGUGGGGAUCAAACAGG
RNAcentral lists this ribosomal RNA (253 nucleotides) under uncultured bacterium. Its description in RNAcentral is "partial 16S ribosomal RNA". It matches the Rfam family "Bacterial small subunit ribosomal RNA", at positions 524 to 776 of the family's 1533-position model. The record is from RNAcentral.